AAUGAACGCUGGCGGCAGGCCUAACACAUGCAAGUCGAGCGGAUGAAGGGGGCUUGCUCCUGGAUUCAGCGGCGGACGGGUGAGUAAUGCCCAGGAAUCUGGCUGGAAGUGGGGGAUAACGUCCGGAAACGGGCGCUAAUACCGCAUCCGAACCGAGGGAGAACGUGGGGGAGCUUCGGACCUCACGCCAUCAGAUGAGGCUAGGUCGGAUUAGCUAGGUGGUGGGGUAAAGGCCUACCAAGGCGGGGAUCCGUAACUGGUCUGAGAGGAUGACCGGACACACUGUGACAGAGGGACGGUCCAGACUCCUACGGGAAGAAGCAGUAGGGAAUAUUGGGCGAUGGGCGAGAGCCUGAUCCAGCAAUGCGGGGUAUGUGAAGAAGGUCUUCGGACGGGAAAGCACUUUAAGUUGGGGGGAAGGACAGUAAGUUAAGACGUUGCUGUAAUGACGUUACCAGGAGAAUAAGCACCGGCUAACUUCGUG
Molecule: ribosomal RNA, 484 nt
Filed under: uncultured bacterium
Lineage: Bacteria
Description: partial 16S ribosomal RNA
Rfam family: Bacterial small subunit ribosomal RNA
Source: RNAcentral